RNAcentral lists this unclassified non-coding RNA (518 nucleotides) under uncultured Glomus. Its description in RNAcentral is "SSU rRNA". It matches the Rfam family "Eukaryotic small subunit ribosomal RNA", at positions 569 to 1091 of the family's 1831-position model. The record is from RNAcentral. Lineage: Eukaryota; Fungi; Glomeromycota; Glomeromycetes; Glomerales; Glomeraceae.
AGCAGCCGCGGUAAUUCCAGCUCCAAUAGCGUAUAUUAAAGUUGUUGCAGUUAAAAAGCUCGUAGUUGAAUUUCGGGAUCAGUUGGUCGGUCGUGCCUCGGUACGUACUGGUCAAAUUGAUUCCUACCUUCUGACGAACCACGAUGUCAUUAAUUUGGUGUCGCGGGAAAUCAGGACUGUUACUUUGAAAAAUUAGAGUGUUUAAAGCAGGCUCGCGCUUGAAUACAUUAGCAUGGAAUAAUGAAAUAGGACGUUUGAUUCUAUUUUGUUGGUUUCUAGGAUCGACGUAAUGAUUAAUAGGGAUAGUUGGGGGCAUUAGUAUUCAAUUGUCAGAGGUGAAAUUCUUGGAUUUAUUGAAGACUAACUACUGCGAAAGCAUUUGCCAAGGAUGUUUUCAUUAAUCAAGAACGAAAGUUAGGGGAUCGAAGACGAUCAGAUACCGUCGUAGUCUUAACCAUAAACUAUGCCGACUAGGGAUCGGAUGAUGUUAAUUUUUAAUGACUCAUUCGGCGCCUUAC